UUCAUAUCUCAUUUGUUUGUUAAUUUGUUUUUGUAAUGAUCUCUUUGUCCCUUCAUUUCUCUAACCCAUGGCUGUACCUAUAUUACCGGUUAAAAUGCAAAUUUUCUUAGAGGCUGGCCCCUACUGUUCAUAGCAAAAGAAUUUUGAUCUCACAAAAUGAUUUGCAUUUGGAUGAAGGAUUCCCACCACAUGUAUGAAUUUGCACCUGGAUGCAAAUCCAGGGAGAAUGGGUUCUGUGGUGGACUUGGGGAGAGGCAGUUGGUGUCUUCGGGGUCAAGGAAAGUAUUACACUCUGUGAAGAAUUCAAUCCUGUGCUACAGAACAAGACUGAGAGUGAAGCCUUUGAUUUUUGUCCUUUUGGAAAGUCUGCUUAGGUCAAAGGAGGGAAGGACACUGGGCCUGUUCACCUUCCUAUGCGACUGAGGAGCAGUUUAUGGCUGGCCAGGUGCAGAUGCCCUAUCUAAUCUCCCCUGUGGCUGUCAUAGCGCGGCAGCUGCAGCAGUUGGAGGGAGGUAGGGAGCUAUUAAAUAUCAAGGAAAUGUUUGUGCUAGUAUUGUCCCAUUUUGGGGUGGUACAGAAAUCCACAAUUUGUUUUCCACCUAGAAGCAUGACAGCUGCACAAGUGGUCUUCAACCUCAUGCCUUACUACCACCAAGUCUUUGUGACUGUGGACAGGACACCAGAAGGACAAGGACCCUGGUGAUGCACAGUGAAAGGCCUGCACAGCAGCUGCAGGAGGGCAUCAAGCCCCAGGCUCCUCUUCCUUCUUUUCCAUCAUUCUGGGGAUCUGGCUUUCAUUCUCAUGAACCUAGCCUCCUUAAUAAACAAUACCUGGAUGCCCA
RNAcentral lists this long non-coding RNA (842 nucleotides) under Vulpes vulpes (red fox). RNAcentral's name for it is "lncRNA (ENSVVUG00000002800.1)". The record is from RNAcentral. Lineage: Eukaryota; Metazoa; Chordata; Mammalia; Carnivora; Canidae.